Molecule: long non-coding RNA, 1804 nt
Organism: Cavia porcellus (domestic guinea pig)
Lineage: Eukaryota; Metazoa; Chordata; Mammalia; Rodentia; Caviidae
Exons: 3
Source: RefSeq, a predicted model, not a curated record
CGCCCCGUGACGUGGGCCCAGGUGCGCGGGCCAGGUGCGCGGGCCAGGUGCCCAGGUGCAGCCGCGCCCUGCUGACCUCGCGGGUCCGCGCGGCCGCCGGGGUCCCCGGGGCGUCCCCUCUCCCUCCUGCUCCUGCCCCCUCCGCCCCUCCUGCCUCGCACCUGUCCCGCCCCCCCUUUCCGCGGUGUCCCCGAGGGCAGGGCGUGGGGCUGACUCCAGAGGUAAACUCUGGGUCACAGCCGCCCUGGGAAGUGGGUUUCUAAUGGAAUUUUUUAUCGUAUAUUUAAUUUUUUUUUUUUUUAAGAACGAGUGGCAAUCACCCUCACUGAUAACGCUGCCAGUAGAGAACGUGAGCUUCUCUGAGGCCCGAGCGCUCUCUGAAGCUAAAUUCUGGAGCUGCUCAGACGCAGGUGUUCCCGGGUGGGACCCGGCCUCACACGCCCUCCGCGGGCUCAGUGCACCGAGCUGCACACGGGCUCUCCUGCCUCCAGAACCUCCCUCUAAUUCGCUUUUCCUUGGCUGUCCUUCUUGCAAGGUGUAGUCUAGGAAGGAAGAAUGGUAUCUUUAAUUUUUUUUUAAUUAUAGAACAUAUAAAACAUUUACAAGAAUUAGGCAGUAUAAUCAUAAACAUCCACAAAAUGCCGCUGGGCAGCGUCGCCCUGGCUUCUGGUGACUGGGAAUCAUCACCUGUGGGCGGGGAUCCCGGCUGCUGUGAACCCCAAGAGCGGCUCCUCUGAUGUGAAAUGGGCCAUGGUUGCCUAAGUUGGCCCCUGUACACCACGAAAAGUAAGCGCUCCUUCAGUGACAGCCGAUGACAAUUUUUCCAUUUUUUUGUACACGUCAUGUUAUGCUAUAGACGCGAGAUGCUGCGUAGGUUAAGUCCAGAUUCUACCUAACUCUUUAUUCCAUCUGCCAAACUUCUCGUCCCUGCCUUACAAACACGAUCUCUUCAUAAAAGGAGUCUACAUGGGUCCCCACUUGACCUUUGGUUUGCAUGCAACAUUUUGUCAGUGAAAUAAAGGAGAUAAGAUUAAUUUUGUCAAAGAUCAGCAGAAGGAAAACUACACACAAGCACAGGUGUCCAUCAGGUUAGCUGAUGUCAGGAGACAUCCUCCACUGGAAUCCGGAUCUUGGCUAUCAAGCUGAGUCUCUGGAAGCUGUGUAACUCCACGCACUGGCCGGCAGGUUUUACUUAGCCGCGCCUGUAUUAUUUUAAUAACCAAAACUCACAGGCGUCGUGAUGGCAUCAAGGUAAAAACCACAAAGCAGGGCGGGGGUGAGGCCUGUUGUGUAUGCCGUCAGCUGCCCCACUUAAUCCUCACUUCUGCUGUUCAAUAGGAAAUUUUGUGUUUUCCGUAUUUAUUUGAUCAACAAACCUUUCUGUAUUCAAACCCUCAUUGGCAGGGAGUGGUCUGUUUUAUUUUCUCCGCAGAGUUCUCAGUAAGCUCCUGAAGAAUGCUCAAAGGGAGACAGGUUGUGACAAUCAGCUCUGGAAUGGAUGGAAGAAAGUCCCUCCCCCAGGCACCACUCUGUCCUUUUCCGUCUUGGGUUUGAUCUUGCAUCUACCUCUGCUCUCUGGGGCUCUACUGCUACAUUCUCCAAGACUGCUUGAGGGACAUCGGAACCGAGACUCGUUCUCUAUCAUGUUAGGAGACGUGAUUGGGCUUUCGGGACCCUCAGCCGGCCUUUGCCUGGAUCUCCCACCACUUUCCUGGUUAUUUCCCACUGCUUCUCUCACUGUCUCCACCACUGCGUUUGGUGCAAGUGGACAUGUGGAACAAAAUAAAUCUAGACCAUGCCAGUC